AUCAAGGUGUCUGAAUUAGGUAAUAAAUUGUAAAUUUAUUUAAGAAAUAAAUAAGUUUCUCUUGAUA
Molecule: transfer RNA, 67 nt
Filed under: Mileewa rufivena
Lineage: Eukaryota; Metazoa; Arthropoda; Insecta; Hemiptera; Cicadellidae
Description: tRNA-Tyr
Source: RNAcentral